This 1334-nucleotide long non-coding RNA is filed under the name Trifolium pratense (red clover). Its description in RNAcentral is "long non-coding RNA (TPRA_LNC000284)". The record is from RNAcentral. Lineage: Eukaryota; Viridiplantae; Streptophyta; Magnoliopsida; Fabales; Fabaceae.
UUACUAACCAAACUGGACAACGAUCCAGCAAGUCUUGAGUCAUGGUUCAACCGCCAUAAACUGUCAAAAUAACCGAACCAUAGUAAUGACCGGUUUAGGUUAAACCGUCCGGUAUGGUUCAAUUUUUAAAACACUAAUUCUUAGUUAUGUUAACAGUUUGAUUGCAAUCUCAAAGUAUCCUUUACAUGACUAAUUACAGAGAUGCAGAUAAUGAUGAUUGGGCUAUAGAUGUUGCUACUAAAACAAUUCAAAAGCUGAUGGAGAUUGAGAAAACAAUUUUACAUCCAAAAGAGUCUAUAGUUACCAUCAAAGACGAGCUACAAGAACAUGAAAACCAAAUGAACCAAUCUGCAUAUGAAUAUAAUUUUUCGGAUGUAGGUGAUAGAAAUUCUUUAGAGGAUAAAGUAGACUCAGAGGAGCAUGAGUCCGAAGUUGCUAUUGAUGCAGAAACGGAUUCAUCAACAUUUAGUCCUAGGGAGGGAUCAUUAGAAGAGAGAGAUUAUGUUUAUACAGACAGUGUAAAUAUGAGGCAAGUUAGUAUCAGUUAUGUGCAAUUAGAGAAUACUGAUUUUGAAAAGGAAGCAGAUGCAGAAAAUGAUGAAUUGACUCCUGCACCUUCCCUGGGUGUGGUAGGACAAAAUUCUGAUCAAGCUGAAUAAAAAUCAGAGAAGAGUCCAAUAAUUGUAUAAUUUCUUCAUAAUAUAUUUACAUAAUUUUAGUUUUCCACUUGUUUAAAGCCUACUUGACUUAUUUGGAUGCUUUCAUGCUCAAGUAGACAUGUGCACCACACCUAAUCUAACCACCCAAAACCUCUAUUAUGACAAGUUUAACAAAAAUGAUAAAGUAAACUGAAUUUAAAGAUGUAAAACAUUCAAUCAGGAUAUGUCUGGUGCCUAAAAAUUCAAAUCAGAAGAAUAAAAGUCGCUUUUUGAUAAAUAAAACUUCCUUCUUGCCUUUGCAAAAAUAAAAUAAGCAACAUUUAUAACCUAAUCAUCACUAUCUGUACUACAAAAUAAUAACAUGAAAAAACUAUCAUCAGGAUUCAGGAGAAACACCUACAUGAGUUAUGUAAAGGAUACUUUGAGAUUUUAUAAUUUGUUUUUAGAGUUUACAGAGCUGUAAAUAAUAAACAACUUCAAAAACAUAUGCAUUACUUGAAAGGGUCAAAGGAUUGUUGGAGAAGUAUCCUCCAUGCAUUUCAAUAUCCACCACGAAUUACAUAUCCAAAAUAAACUGCUCAAGGAACAAAGAUAAAUAAUUGCUUUAAGUAGGUAGAAAUCAUGUGAUAAACACAGCCUCGUGUUUUAGGAGGAAUCUGCAACGAACUUUCUAGA